RNAcentral lists this non-coding RNA (29 nucleotides) under Mus musculus (house mouse). The record is from RNAcentral. Lineage: Eukaryota; Metazoa; Chordata; Mammalia; Rodentia; Muridae.
UGAGAAGUAUUUACGGACAUGAGUUGGGC